GUGUUUUCCUUUUGCAUAACGAUUGCCACGUGAGCUAGCCUCUGUUGCCCAUCGUCGUCAGUUUCAGAGGGUACAUUUCUCAGUGCUGCUUUUUCCCCAGGUCUCCACGCCCUUGUGUGUUUCUUUUGCUUAACGAUUGCCACCUGAGCUAGCCUCUGUGGCCCAUCUUUGUCAGUUUCAGAGGGUAGAUUUCUCAGUCUUGCUCUUUCCCAAGUUCUGCACGCCCUUGUGUGUGGGUUUUUUUUUUUUUUUUUUUUUGCUCAAAUAUUGAACCUAAGCUAGCAUCUGUUGCCCUUCUUCGUCAGUUUCAGAGGGUGGAUUUCUCCGUGUUGCUUUUUCCCCAGGUCUCCACGCCCUUGUGUGUUUCUUUUGCUUAACGAUUGCCACCUGAGCUAGCCUCUGUGGCCCAUUUUCGUCAGCUUCAGAGGGUAGAUUUCUCAGUGUUGCUUUUUCCCCAGGUCUCCACGCCCUUGUGUGUUUCUUUUGCUUAACGAUUGCCGCCUGAGCUAGCCUCUGUGGCCCAUUUUCGUCAGCUUCAGAGGGUGGAUUUCUCAGUGUUGCUUUUUCCCCAGGUCUCCACGUCCCUCAGUGUGUGUGUGUGUGUGAGUGUGUGUGUUUUCUUUGCAAGAUUGGCACUUGAGCUAACGUGUGUUGCCCAUCUUUGUCAGUUUCAGAGGCUAGAUUUUUCAGUAUCGCUCUUUCCCAAGGUCUCCACUCCCGUUGCUCUUUUCUUUGUUUCUUUGUUUCUUUGUUCUUUCUUUUUGGCUUAAAUAUUGUCACCUG
RNAcentral lists this long non-coding RNA (783 nucleotides) under Equus caballus (horse). RNAcentral's name for it is "lncRNA (ENSECAG00000049668.1)". The record is from RNAcentral. Lineage: Eukaryota; Metazoa; Chordata; Mammalia; Perissodactyla; Equidae.